UACGAAGGGGGCUAGCGUUGCUCGGAAUCACUGGGCGUAAAGCGCCCGUAGGCGGCUUGCUAAGUCAGUGGUGAAAGCCUACAGCUUAACUGUAGAAUUGCCAUUGAUACUGAUGAUCUUGAGUAUGAUUGAGGUAGGCGGAAUGUGUCAUGUAGCGGUGAAAUGCUUAGAUAUGACACAGAACACCGAUUGCGAAGGCAGCUUACUAAGUCAAAACUGACGCUGAUGCACGAAAGCGUGGGGAGCAAACAGG
Molecule: ribosomal RNA, 253 nt
Filed under: uncultured bacterium
Lineage: Bacteria
Description: partial 16S ribosomal RNA
Rfam family: Bacterial small subunit ribosomal RNA
Source: RNAcentral